This 497-nucleotide ribosomal RNA is filed under the name uncultured bacterium. RNAcentral's name for it is "partial 16S ribosomal RNA". It matches the Rfam family "Bacterial small subunit ribosomal RNA", at positions 28 to 507 of the family's 1533-position model. The record is from RNAcentral.
GAUGAACGCUGGCGGCGUGCCUAAUACAUGCAAGUCGAGCGAACGGACGAGAAGCUUGCUUCUCUGAUGUUAGCGGCGGACGGGUGAGUAACACGUGGAUAACCUACCUAUAAGACUGGGAUAACUUCGGGAAACCGGAGCUAAUACCGGAUGAUAUUUUGAACCGCAUGGUUCCAAAGUGAAAGACGGUCUUGCUGUCACUUAUAGAUGGAUCCGCGCUGCAUUAGCUAGUUGGUAAGGUAACGGCUUACCAAGGCAACGAUGCAUAGCCGACCUGAGAGGGUGAACGGCCACAUGGGAACUGAGAAACGGUCCAGACUCCUACGGGGGGCAGCAGUAGGGAAUCUUCCGCAAUGGGCGAAAGCCUGACGGAGCAACGCCGCGUGAGUGAUGAAGGUCUUCGGAUCGUAAAACUCUGUUAUUAGGGAAGAAGAUAUGUGUAAGUAACUGUGCACAUCUUGACGGUACCUAAUCAGAAAGCCACGGCUAACUACGUG